AAGACAGGACCCCCGAAAACAAAAAAAACAACGAAGAUAGACACUCCCAAAUCGAUUUGGGGAUUAGGGCUCAUGAGGAAAAUCAAUUUCGAUUAAACUGUGUCAUUUUUGACAUUUGAGAAGAAGCAAGUGAUCUGGGCUACAAAUCGGGGUUUAGGAAGCGAAACAGAAUGAAUCGAGGCAAAAAACAGUUUGAAAAGAGAGAAAGUAUGGUUAUCAAUGCGAGUUCAUCUGCGAGUGGUUACAAUGAUGGUAUUCUCCAUUUGUGUGAUUGUAAUCGGCCGGCGAAAGUUGUCAGAGCUUGGACUGAUGCGAACCCUGGGCGACGAUUCUACAGUUGCAAUGGGCGUCAAAUGGGUAACAGAUAUGACUCUUGCAACUUUUUUCGUUGGUUUGAUGAAGAGAAACCACAUGGGUGGCAACAUCUAGCAUUGUUGGAGGCUAGAGAUGUCAUUCGAGUGCAAAGAGAAGAGAUUAUAAAAUUUGAAACAAGAGCUGGCAUUGAAGAACUCGUUUGAAGCAGAAGGUCCGAGUGAAGUCCAGGAUCAGCUGAGGAAAACCCAACAGGAAUGUGAAUCACUAAAGCAAGAGGUAUUGGUUCUUAAAGAAAAGAGCACAAUUCAAUAUCUUAUGUCCUUGGAGUAGUCUGAUCGUGGUUGAAGUUGAGCUGUUGAUGACAUUGUAUUGUUCGUACUAGCUCAUGAUGACUUUGUAGUCUAUUCUAGUAUUUCUGCUGCUUGAUUUAUAUUCUAUGUGUAACAAGAUUUCUAUUCUAUUCCAUGAGUUAGAUUUACAUU
Long non-coding RNA from Eutrema salsugineum, 797 nucleotides. RefSeq lists it as uncharacterized. The record is from RefSeq and is a predicted model, not a curated record. The transcript has 2 exons. Lineage: Eukaryota; Viridiplantae; Streptophyta; Magnoliopsida; Brassicales; Brassicaceae.